GUAUGGACACAUUGUUACAAAACAUGUACCUGAUCCUGGACUAACUGAAGUCAGUUGGAGUUUUGCCGUUGACUUCGUGGAUGCACAAACCGCCUCAUGUUGGCACACUAGCUGAGUAAAACCAUACUGUUGUCAGAACAUGUUGUGCAGCCAGUUCUCUUUGGGUGAUCUCUUUGUAUAUUAUAGAUCACUUUUUUGCCUUUGGCUCAGCUUGCUUCUGCAUUUGUUCUUGCAUGGAGAAAGAAAGAAAGUCACCACAUGGUAUAGUCUCAGAGAUGGACAGUGCUGCAGCAGAUCCCUGCCUGAAGGCACUCUACCAACACAGAACCAAGAAAUAGUCCUGCCCCAAAGCACUUACAAUGUAAGUAUAAGACAAGAGACAGAAACAGACCGACCGAUGGAGUCCAAGCAAGCAAUGAGACAGUAUUGAUCAGCUUGAUGAGCAGUGGUCUCAGCACAGAGUUCUUUUGUCAGUACUAAUUUUGUUCAGCCCGUGGGCAAGUGAAGUAUUGGUGUGUGGCCAACAGAGGUCUCUGGAACAAAUAGGAAGGGAAUCUCCAUGAGUAGAAAUACCGAGUGAAAAAUGUAAGAAGAAAACAUCCAUGGGAAAAUGAAAAUUGCUCGGGUGUCUUCUAGUAGUGCAAUGGAGUGUGAUUCACAGGUUUUUCUUUUGCUAGUUUCCAUGCAUGUGGCUUCAGUGGUGUUUGCUGUUGAAAAAGUAUAUGUAAGUAAAGGUAAAUCUAACAUACCAUUUUUUCCAAAUAAAAGCACCCUGUAUCCAGUCCAGGACAU
Long non-coding RNA from Gopherus flavomarginatus (Mexican gopher tortoise), 792 nucleotides. RefSeq lists it as uncharacterized. Lineage: Eukaryota; Metazoa; Chordata; Testudines; Testudinidae. The transcript is spliced from 3 exons. The record is from RefSeq and is a predicted model, not a curated record.